UGCACAUGAAUAUGAAGCUUUUUAAUUCUACGGUCUCUCCUGAAGAGCGGCAGGAUCUAGCGAUGUUUGCACAGUGGGUUCUCAAUGAACGGAAUUGUACUAAUGACUCCAAAAGGGGAUAAGCUACCCCUUCUUAGAAUUUAUACGACCUAAUAUGAUAUUGUAACCUGAUUCUCGCCAUGUUUCUACUAUUGUUAAUGCAAUAUAUGAUUAAUUUUCUGGAAAUUAUUCCGAUCCAUCUUAUCUGGCACAGCAUGCUAUAGGUUAUCCUACUAAUAAUGUAGCCAAUGCCAUAAAUGGUGUGGUUUUCUCUAGAAAUUGACAAGAUAUAUGCUUAAUGGAGAUUAAGUACUGUACCAUUGUAUUUGAGAUUUUGAAUGAUCUUCCAUGACAUCUUCCUUGAUGGAGAUUAAGCACUGUACUGUAUUUGAGAUUCUGAACCAUCUGCUUGCUACCGUUCAGAUAACGUUUUCCUUUCCUAGAAGGUGAUCUGAUUAUAACUUUGACCUCAAGCUGCUCCCUCCCUUGACAGGUGAAUUGUUAUUUAUAUAGGGUUCACAAGCACUCCCUCCGGUCGAUUUUAAUCGACGCGGGGUUAGCUCACUACAUACACGCAGCUAGGCAUGGAGCAACGUCAAUUAAAAGCGACCAGAGGUAGUAAUUUGUUCAACUAUAAUACAGUAGCCAGUGCAUGAGACAGAGAUAAGGCAUCACUGCAUCAGCUACAGUUUUUUUGUGCCGUACAGACGAAUUAAAGGGACCGUGUUUCAAAGUAUUACUCCACAGUGUUCAACUACAGGCUGAUUUCAAGAUGGUUUUUGCCUGCAACAGGACAGGAUCUUUUUCAGCUCCACCAACCUAGAUAGGUGCUUACCCUUCCGCUGUAUGCCAGUGCCUUAUGCUGAAGCCUUUUGUUAUAACAGUACAGCAGUGGUGAGGUUUUUUUUAUUGCCAGCGCUAAAUUGCAGUCUCUUAUAUUGAUAGUUAGUUCUAAAGCGUUUGUGCA
Molecule: long non-coding RNA, 1006 nt
Organism: Lolium perenne
Lineage: Eukaryota; Viridiplantae; Streptophyta; Magnoliopsida; Poales; Poaceae
Source: RefSeq, a predicted model, not a curated record